AAUAUUGCACAAUGGGGGAAACCCUGAUGCAGCAACGCCCCGUGAGCGAUGAAGGCCUUCGGGUCGUAAAGCUCUGUCCUUAGGGAAGAUAAUGAUGGUACGUCAGGAGGAAGCCCCGGCUAUCUACGUGCCAGACGCCGCGGUAAUACGUAGGGGGCAAGAGUUAUCCGGAAUCCUUGGGCGUAAAGGGUGCGUAGGCUGCCAUAUAGGUCAGAGGUCAAAGGCUACGGCUCAACCGUAGUAAGCCUUUGAAACUGUAGGGCUUGAGUGCAGGAGAGGAGAGUGGAAUUCCUAGUGUAGCGGUGAAAUGCGUAGAUAUUAGGAGGAACACCAGUGGCGAAGGCGACUCUCUGGACUGCAACUGACGCUGAGGCACGAAAGCGUGGGUAGCGAACA
RNAcentral lists this ribosomal RNA (396 nucleotides) under uncultured bacterium. RNAcentral's name for it is "partial 16S ribosomal RNA". It matches the Rfam family "Bacterial small subunit ribosomal RNA", at positions 360 to 774 of the family's 1533-position model. The record is from RNAcentral.